GACGAACGCUGGCGGCGUGCUUAACACAUGCAAGUCGAACGGAAAGGCCCUGCUUGCAGGGUGCUCGAGUGGCGAACGGGUGAGUAACACGUGGGUGAUCUGCCCCUUACUUUGGGAUAAGCCUGGGAAACUGGGUCUAAUACUGGAUAGGACCAUGCUGUAGGUGGCGUGGUGGAAAGAUUAGUUUCGGUAAGGGAUGAGCUCGCGGCCUAUCAGCUUGUUGGUGGGGUAAUGGCCUACCAAGGCGUCGACGGGUAGCCGGCCUGAGAGGGUGGACGGCCACAUUGGGACUGAGAUACGGCGCAGACGCCUACGGGGGGCAGCAGUGGGGAAGAUUGCACAAUGGGGGCAAGCCUGAUGCAGCGACGCCGCGUGGGGGAUGACGGCCUUCGGGUUGUAAACUCCUUUCAGCCAUGACGAAGCCCUUGUGGUGACGGUAGUGGUAGAAGAAGCACCGGCUAACUACGUG
This 469-nucleotide ribosomal RNA is filed under the name uncultured bacterium. RNAcentral describes it as "partial 16S ribosomal RNA". It matches the Rfam family "Bacterial small subunit ribosomal RNA", at positions 28 to 507 of the family's 1533-position model. The record is from RNAcentral.